Molecule: ribosomal RNA, 279 nt
Filed under: uncultured bacterium
Lineage: Bacteria
Description: partial 16S ribosomal RNA
Rfam family: Bacterial small subunit ribosomal RNA
Source: RNAcentral
UGCCAGCAGCCGCGGUAAUACAGAGGGUGCAAACGUUGUUCGGAAUUAUUGGGCGUAAAGAGCGUGUAGGCGGCUUACAAAGUCAGUUGUGAAAGCCCAUGGCUCAACCAUGGAAGUGCAACCGAUACUGGUAAGCUUGAGUUCUGGAGAGGAUGGCGGAAUUCCUAGUGUAGAGGUGAAAUUCGUAGAUAUUAGGAGGAACACCGGUGGCGAAGGCGGCCAUCUGGACAGAUACUGACGCUGAGACGCGAAAGCAUGGGGAGCAAACAGGAUUAGAUA